AAUGAAGUGCCUGAUAAAAGGAUUAUCUUGAUAGGAUAAAUUAUAUACAUUUCCCUGUAUCUUCAUUA
This 68-nucleotide transfer RNA is filed under the name Layahima wuzhishana. Its description in RNAcentral is "tRNA-Ile". Lineage: Eukaryota; Metazoa; Arthropoda; Insecta; Neuroptera; Myrmeleontidae. The record is from RNAcentral.